Molecule: RNA transcript, 1686 nt
Organism: Vicugna pacos (alpaca)
Lineage: Eukaryota; Metazoa; Chordata; Mammalia; Artiodactyla; Camelidae
Gene: MBIP
Gene name: MAP3K12 binding inhibitory protein 1
Source: RefSeq, a predicted model, not a curated record
AAGCUGGAGAGGGAGGGGUGGGUUGUUAGUACGCCUCGGUGCUGGCGGGGGCGGCCUACGAAAGUGUCAUGGCUGCUGCCGCCGAGCUUAGUCUCCCGACCAUCGGUGAGAGGAACCUGGAGCGGAGCUGCAGCCCCAACCUCUCCCGAGAGGUGGUCUGCGAAGUCUUUCGCUCCUUGCAUACCCUGGCUGGACAACUUAACCUCAGAGAUGAUGUGGUGAAAAUUACAAUCGAUUGGAACAAGCUCCAGAGCCUCACGGCAUUCCAGCCUGCUUUGCUCUUUAGUGCACUUGAACAACACGUUUUAUAUUUACAGCCUUUUUUAGCAAAACUUCAGCCUCUGAUUAAAGAGGAGAAUCCAACUGUUGUUGAAGAGAUAGGAAAAACAGAAACGGGGAACAAGAAUGAAGUAAAUGGCAAAUUUCCCAUUGGCGACCUACAGGAGGAAGAAAAGCACAAAGAUUGUGAUUUAGGAGAUGUGAAAAAGACACAGAUCCAUUUUGAUCCAGAAGUAGUUCAAAUAAAGGCUGGAAAAGCAGAAAUUGACAGACGAAUAUCUGCAUUUAUUGAAAGAAAGCAAGCUGAAAUCAAUGAAAACAACGUCAGGGAAUUUUGCAAUGUUAUUGAUUGUAAUCAAGAAAAUAGUUGUGCGAGAACUGAUGCCGUUUUUACUCCUUACCCUGGAUUUAAAAGUCACGUAAAAGUUUCUAGAGUUGUGAAUACAUAUGGACCACAGACUAGACCUGAAGGAAUUCAAGGGUCAGGCCAUAACCCUAGCAGCAUGCUGCGAGACUGCGGUAACCAGGCUGUGGAGGAACGACUGCAGAAUAUUGAGGCUCACUUGCGACUGCAGACAGGUGGUCCAGUGCCAAGAGACAUUUAUCAGAGAAUUAAAAAACUUGAAGAUAAAAUCCUUGAGUUGGAAGGCAUCUCUCCUGAAUAUUUUCAAUCUGUAGUUAAGCUGUUAGGAAAACAAGAGGAAGUAUAUUUUCAUCAAGAAUUUUUCUGGAAAAAGAAGAAAAGUUCAACCACCUCAAACACCACUAAUUAGUAGCAUCUAAAUCAAGAACCCCUUGGUGACGCAUUGUUGACAAAAAUUUUCUUCCAUUCCCAGAACUAUUCACUGGCUGAACUUGAUGAGAAAAUUAGUGCCCUCCGACAAGCUCUGCUCAGAAAAUCAAGAGAAGCAGAAUCCAUGGCAACUCAUCACCUUCCAUGAAAAAGUCCUCUUUCUUGUCACUUUACUUUUUUAGAUACAUGUGUGCAACUUACACUGUAAUUAGUUAAGUGGAUAUGUGUUUAUCAGUGUAGACUUACCUCUGAAAUCAAGGUUUAUUUUCAUGUCAGUUCACUUUGUAGCAAGCAGUCUUCAUAUAUUCCAGUGUACUUUGAAAUAGUUAAUGCAUUGAAAAUAGCAUUGUCAGAAUUUAUUCCCUUCUGUUUUAAAGGAGGUUAUUAUUUGAAAGUACAUCUUUUUGUGUCUUUACCACAGAAAGGAAGAGAAGGCUUUAUUUAUAUUUGUAACAUUUAUGUUAACCAGUUUUAGUUUAAAUCUGUACUUUGUACAUAAUAGGCAUUCAAUAAAAAUUUUUAAAUAAAUGUAUAUACUUUUUCCAAGUGUCAGUUUUAAUCUAGUAGAUCAUGUGCCCUUAAUCUCUUUGUGCCUUAAUUUCCUUAUCUGCAAA